RNAcentral lists this ribosomal RNA (395 nucleotides) under uncultured bacterium. RNAcentral's name for it is "partial 16S ribosomal RNA". It matches the Rfam family "Bacterial small subunit ribosomal RNA", at positions 523 to 917 of the family's 1533-position model. The record is from RNAcentral.
AUACGUAGGGGGCGAGCGUUGUCCGGAAUGAUUGGGCGUAAAGGGCGCGUAGGCGGCCCGGUAAGUCUGGAGUGAAAGUCCUGUUUUUAAGAUGGGAAUUGCUUUGGAUACUGUCGGGCUUGAGUGCAGGAGAGGUAAGUGGAAUUCCCAGUGUAGCGGUGAAAUGCGUAGAGAUUGGGAGGAACACCAGUGGCGAAGGCGACUUACUGGACUGUAACUGACGCUGAGGCGCGAAAGUGUGGGGAGCAAACAGGAUUAGAUACCCUGGUAGUCCACGCUGUAAACGAUGAUUACUAGGUGUGGGGGGACUGACCCCUUCCGUGCCGCAGUUAACACAAUAAGCAUUCCGCCUGGGGAGUACGGCCGAAAGGUUGAAACUCAAAGGAAUUGACGGG